RNAcentral lists this non-coding RNA (21 nucleotides) under Caenorhabditis elegans. Lineage: Eukaryota; Metazoa; Nematoda; Chromadorea; Rhabditida; Rhabditidae. The record is from RNAcentral.
UAUUUCAGAUGCGAGAAUAGU